This 445-nucleotide ribosomal RNA is filed under the name uncultured bacterium. RNAcentral describes it as "partial 16S ribosomal RNA". It matches the Rfam family "Bacterial small subunit ribosomal RNA", at positions 354 to 796 of the family's 1533-position model. The record is from RNAcentral.
GUGAGGAAUAUUGGUCAAUGGGCGGGAGCCUGAACCAGCCAAGUCGCGUGAAGGAAGUAGGAUCUAUGGUUCGUAAACUUCUUUUGCAGGGGAAUAAAGUGCAGGACGUGUCCUGUUUUGUAUGUACCCUGAGAAUAAGGAUCGGCUAACUCCGUGCCAGCAGCCGCGGUAAUACGGAGGAUCCGAGCGUUAUCCGGAUUUAUUGGGUUUAAAGGGUGCGUAGGUGGUUUGAUAAGUCAGCGGUGAAAGUUUGCAGCUUAACUGUAAAAAUGCCGUUGAAACUGUCGGACUUGAGUGUAAAUGAGGUAGGCGGAAUGCGUGGUGUAGCGGUGAAAUGCAUAGAUAUCACGCAGAACUCCGAUUGCGAAGGCAGCUUACUAAGCUACAACUGACACUGAAGCACGAAAGCGUGGGGAUCAAACAGGAUUAGAAACCCCGGUAGUCC